This 28-nucleotide non-coding RNA is filed under the name Mus musculus (house mouse). The record is from RNAcentral. Lineage: Eukaryota; Metazoa; Chordata; Mammalia; Rodentia; Muridae.
UGACAGAUUUCCGUAUAUUAAACCAUCC